Molecule: long non-coding RNA, 493 nt
Organism: Cyclopterus lumpus (lumpfish)
Lineage: Eukaryota; Metazoa; Chordata; Actinopteri; Perciformes; Cyclopteridae
Exons: 2
Source: RefSeq, a predicted model, not a curated record
GCACCUUGUGAGCCGCCUGCUGGAAGGCCACGUUCACGUCUGGGGAACACGACAUGACAAUAAUAAUAACAACAACAACACAUACAGGUGCUCUAGUGAGGUGAGAACCACAACGAGCAUUCUGGGAGUUUGAACUGUACCGUGCUCGCUGACGGCCGUGGGCGGAGUCUUCAACAUGUGCUGCGCGAGGUCGAUGAACACCUGGUAGAGCUCGCCGCGGCCCAGCAGGUAGAAGUCCUUAAUUAUCUGGAAGAAGACGUCAACAACAACAACAACAACCUUAUUAUUCCUGUUUAUGAGCCAGAAGUAAACAAAACAGCGUUCAGUACGAACCUUCAGCUGCUCGAGAAGAUCCGACUCCACGACCAUCAACGUCCAGAGAUGCUGCAAGUCAGUGAGGAGGAGUUUAAUGUGGUCGUUGUUGUUGUUCAGUGGAAAGAGUAAACAAAUGAGUCACGAAGUUUGAAUAAUAAAGACAGGUAGAUUCUUUUAA